RNAcentral lists this transfer RNA (66 nucleotides) under human gut metagenome. It matches the Rfam family "tRNA". From Rfam's summary of the family: Transfer RNA (tRNA) molecules are approximately 80 nucleotides in length. Their secondary structure includes four short double-helical elements and three loops (D, anti-codon, and T loops). Further hydrogen bonds mediate the characteristic L-shaped molecular structure. tRNAs have two regions of fundamental functional importance: the anti-codon, which is responsible for specific mRNA codon recognition, and the 3' end, to which the tRNAs corresponding amino acid is attached (by aminoacyl-tRNA synthetases). tRNAs cope with the degeneracy of the genetic code in two manners: having more than one tRNA (with a specific anti-codon) for a particular amino acid; and 'wobble' base-pairing, i.e. permitting non-standard base-pairing at the 3rd anti-codon position. The record is from RNAcentral. RNAcentral also lists the same sequence under 2 other names.
GGGCGUAGUUUAAUGGUAGAACAUCAGCUUCCCAAGCUGAAUACGAGGGUUCGAUUCCCUUCGCCC